This 614-nucleotide ribosomal RNA is filed under the name uncultured bacterium. RNAcentral describes it as "bacterial SSU rRNA". The stretch from base 1 to 520 matches the Rfam family "Bacterial small subunit ribosomal RNA", at positions 338 to 873 of the family's 1533-position model. The record is from RNAcentral.
CCUACGGGAGGCAGCAGUGGGGAAUAUUGGGCAAUGGAGGAAACUCUGACCCAGCGACGCCGCGUGCGGGAUGAAGGCCUUCGGGUUGUAAACCGCUUUCAGCAGGGAAGAAGCGAAAGUGACGGUACCUGCAGAAGAAGCACCGGCUAACUAUGUGCCAGCAGCCGCGGUAAUACAUAGGGUGCAAGCGUUGUCCGGAAUUAUUGGGCGUAAAGAGCUCGUAGGUGGUUCGUCACGUCGGAUGUGAAAAUCUGGGGCUUAACCCCAGACCUGCAUUCGAUACGGGCGAGCUUGAGUAUGGUAGGGGAGUCUGGAAUUCCUGGUGUAGCGGUGGAAUGCGCAGAUAUCAGGAGGAACACCAAUGGCGAAGGCAGGACUCUGGGCCAUUACUGACACUGAGGAGCGAAAGCGUGGGGAGCGAACAGGAUUAGAUACCCUGGUAGUCCACGCCGUAAACGGUGGGCACUAGUUGUGGGGACCUUCCACGGUCUCUGCGACGCNGCUACGCAUAGUGCCCGCCGUCGGGAGGUACGAGUCGCGAGAAGUUAAACGUACGUAAAGUUAAGUUAGUACGGCGUUGAGACGUUGCCGACGGACGACGACGAGGGAGGAGG